GCUUUGGUGGUUCAAUGGUAGAAUUCUCGCCUGCCACGCGGGAGGUCCGGGUUCGAUUCCCGGCCAAUGCA
This 71-nucleotide transfer RNA is filed under the name Albula glossodonta (roundjaw bonefish). It matches the Rfam family "tRNA". Rfam says of the family: Transfer RNA (tRNA) molecules are approximately 80 nucleotides in length. Their secondary structure includes four short double-helical elements and three loops (D, anti-codon, and T loops). Lineage: Eukaryota; Metazoa; Chordata; Actinopteri; Albuliformes; Albulidae. The record is from Rfam by way of RNAcentral.